This 408-nucleotide ribosomal RNA is filed under the name Burkholderia pseudomallei. RNAcentral's name for it is "bacterial SSU rRNA". It matches the Rfam family "Bacterial small subunit ribosomal RNA", at positions 1 to 408 of the family's 1533-position model. Lineage: Bacteria; Pseudomonadati; Pseudomonadota; Betaproteobacteria; Burkholderiales; Burkholderiaceae. The record is from RNAcentral.
AUUGAACUGAAGAGUUUGAUCCUGGCUCAGAUUGAACGCUGGCGGCAUGCCUUACACAUGCAAGUCGAACGGCAGCACGGGCUUCGGCCUGGUGGCGAGUGGCGAACGGGUGAGUAAUACAUCGGAACAUGUCCUGUAGUGGGGGAUAGCCCGGCGAAAGCCGGAUUAAUACCGCAUACGAUCUGAGGAUGAAAGCGGGGGACCUUCGGGCCUCGCGCUAUAGGGUUGGCCGAUGGCUGAUUAGCUAGUUGGUGGGGUAAAGGCCUACCAAGGCGACGAUCAGUAGCUGGUCUGAGAGGACGACCAGCCACACUGGGACUGAGACACGGCCCAGACUCCUACGGGAGGCAGCAGUGGGGAAUUUUGGACAAUGGGCGCAAGCCUGAUCCAGCAAUGCCGCGUGUGUGA